Molecule: ribosomal RNA, 159 nt
Filed under: Ostreopsis sp. Dn83EHU
Lineage: Eukaryota; Dinophyceae; Peridiniales; Ostreopsidaceae
Also listed under: 1 other name
Description: 5.8S ribosomal RNA
Rfam family: 5.8S ribosomal RNA (bases 1-117)
About the family: 5.8S ribosomal RNA (5.8S rRNA) is a component of the large subunit of the eukaryotic ribosome. It is transcribed by RNA polymerase I as part of the 45S precursor that also contains 18S and 28S rRNA.
Source: RNAcentral
UGAAGGGUGCAGCCAAUUGUGUUAAAUAUUGCAAAUUGCAGAAUUCCGUGAGUCAAUGUUUGCUUGAAUGUAGAAAUGUACUUGGGUAUCACCUUGGUACAUCAUUUGUUCAUGUUGGUGUUGUUUCUAUGUUGUCUUCCAUGCCAUAUUGGAUGUGGA